AAUAAUAAUUAUUAUUAUUCCUGAUUUAGUUAAUUCAUUGGCCUUUUUUGUGGCUCUGCCUAUCUGCAGAGGCUGCCAAGGUAGAGAAGACCAUGGUGCCAAUGGCAAGUGCUUUAUGGCUGAGUUGCACCUCUAAACCCGUUCAGUGGCUCCAUGGGUAGCUGAUGUGGGGUCAUCUGGAGGACUCCAGUUCCCAUCAUUCCCAGCCAGCAUGCUCAGUGGUGAGAGUGUUGGGUACCCCUGCCCUAGACGUUUAUUACAGUUGUGGUGUCAUCGGAACUUGUGGCAUUUGGGAGCUAUGGGGGCUUCCAGACUGCCACGGUUUUCAGGUGGGGGCCAACAACAUCAACACCCCACCCACCCACCUGCAACAACAACAACAAUAUAGGUUUGUUUUUUUAAUAAGGACAGAGAAAUGUUCAGGAAAGUGCCGGAUAACACAACAUUGUAUAACCUGCCAACAAAUCGGAACUAAAUAGAUGACCCC
Molecule: non-coding RNA, 487 nt
Organism: Podarcis lilfordi (Lilford's wall lizard)
Lineage: Eukaryota; Metazoa; Chordata; Lepidosauria; Squamata; Lacertidae
Source: the annotation of a GenBank genome assembly